UACGUAGGGGGCAAUCGUUGUCCGGAUUUAUUGGGCGUAAAGAGCGUGUAGGCGGCUUUACAGGUCCGUUGUGAAAACUCGAGGCUCAACCUCGAGACGCCGGUGGAAACCGUAAAGCUAGAGUCCGGAAGAGGAGAGUGGAAUUCCUGGUGUAGCGGUGAAAUGCGCAGAUAUCAGGAAGAACACCCGUGGCGAAGGCGGCUCUCUGGGACGGUACUGACGCUGAGACGCGAAAGCGUGGGGAGCGAACAGG
Molecule: ribosomal RNA, 253 nt
Filed under: uncultured bacterium
Lineage: Bacteria
Description: partial 16S ribosomal RNA
Rfam family: Bacterial small subunit ribosomal RNA
Source: RNAcentral